This 1097-nucleotide long non-coding RNA is filed under the name Salmo salar (Atlantic salmon). RNAcentral describes it as "lncRNA (ENSSSAG00000083104.1)". Lineage: Eukaryota; Metazoa; Chordata; Actinopteri; Salmoniformes; Salmonidae. The record is from RNAcentral.
CUCCAUUUUAUACUAUGACCUUUAAAGCACACAUCCGUAAGAGCUCUCCGAUAUCAUUGAGAGGCAAUGCCAUGGCGUGCAAGGUGGCACGUUUGAUAAAUAGGAAAUAAAUGCCUCCCUUGCAUUCUUUGGGUUAUGGGAAGGAGAAGCUGAUGGCUAGCUCCUUUAGAGGGUUGACUUCAACUGUUCUGAUAUUCCUCUGCCAUUGUCUGAGAGAAGGAGAGAAGACAGCCUUUGUAGCUGGGAAACCUUUGUUAUUUUUUGCCUUAUCUUGUUUUUACGCAAUGGGUGAAGGGAAGAGAGGUGAAUAGUAACUUGUAUGAAGGAGAUGAAGUGCUGGUUCAAGGCCUUGAGAGGACCUGAGCCCUAGGACCAUGCCUCAGGACUACCUUGCAUGAUGACUCCUUGCUGUCCCCAGUCCACCUGGCCGUGCUGCUGCUCCAGUUUCAACUGUUCUGCCUGCGGCUAUGGAACACUGACCUGUUCACUGGACGUGCUACCUGUCCCAGACCUGCUGUUUUCAACUUUCUAGAGACAGCAGGAGUGGUAGAGAUACUCUCAAUGAUCAGCUAUGAAAAGCCAACUGACAUUUACUCCUGAGGUGCUGACCUGUUGUACACCCUCGACAACUACUGUGAUUAUUAUUGUUUGACCAUGCUGGUCAUUUAUGAACAUUUGAACAUCUUGGCCAUGUUCUGUUAUAAUCUCCACCCGGCACAGCCAGAAGAGGACUGGCCACCCCUCAUAGCCUGGUUCCUCUCUAGGUUUCUUCCUAGGUUUUGGCCUUUCUAGGGAGUUUUUCCUAGCCACCGUGCUUCUACACCUGCAUUGCUUGCUGUUUGGGGUUUUAGGCUGGGUUUCUGUACAGCACUUUGAGAUAUCAGCUGAUGUAAGAAGGGCUAUAUAAAUACAUUUGAUUUGAUUUGAUUUGGAGAGUCAAAGUAAUUAUCAAAUGUUUAUUAGAGAGGUAGCUAGAUGACAACAACAGCUUUUAUCUAUCAAUUUGCACUGUACUGUACAGUCAGUUCAUACACAGUUACAUCAGCAAGCCAUGCUGAUCACAUUAUCACAAAUAAUUUGCCAUGAAUGAAUUACAG